Molecule: ribosomal RNA, 253 nt
Filed under: uncultured bacterium
Lineage: Bacteria
Description: partial 16S ribosomal RNA
Rfam family: Bacterial small subunit ribosomal RNA
Source: RNAcentral
UACGUAGGAGGCGAGCGUUGUCCGGAGUUACUGGGCGUAAAGGGUGCGUAGGCGGCCGCGCGCGUGGCGGGUGAAAUCUCUCGGCUUACCCGGGAGGGUGCUUGCCAGACGGCGCGGCUUGAGGGACGGAGAGGGGCGUGGAAUUCCGGGUGGAGCGGUGAAAUGCGUAGAGAUCCGGAGGAACACCGACGGCGUAGGCAGCGCCCUGGCCGUUACCUGACGCUGAUGCACGAAAGCUGGGGGAGCGAACAGG